This 1629-nucleotide unclassified non-coding RNA is filed under the name Hermetia illucens (black soldier fly). RNAcentral describes it as "neurogenic protein mastermind-like, transcript variant X2". The record is from RNAcentral. Lineage: Eukaryota; Metazoa; Arthropoda; Insecta; Diptera; Stratiomyidae.
GCUAAGCUUUUGGCUGACUGACUGGGUCUGGUUGAAGCGUAUCGCGUCGUAUCGUCUUCGAAUGGCUCAGCACAGAAGCUCAAGAAAGUGACGGUACAUUGUGUGCUUUACUAUGUGCGGCGCUCCACGGCGAAGAGCCCCAACGGCCGCACUCCACCAGCUAUGCCAGCAAUAAUGUUACGUGCCAGAAGCGGCAGCAACAGCAACAACAACCCAGCACCCAUCCAAUGACAACUCAAGUCGGAACUGAACGGGAAUGAAGCGGCGUCGGCGAUGGCGGCGGAGGAGAAGCAGAAGGUGUUUGCUGCCUUUACUCGGCCGACAGCAGCGCCAGUGUUUCACAGCUAGCGACACGUAAAGCACACACGACCAGAACCUGUGCCUGUGAGGGAGCAACUGAGUUACGGACUCGCGUCGCAAUCGCAAUCUCACGUACAAUUGCUUCCGAGCGCGCUGCGAAGCGGAUGCGGAUGUUGUGUCGCGCGGCGCGUGUUUUUUCUUUUCGUUAAUUGUGUGUUGGCCACCAGACGUCGCGUCUGUGCGACGGUUGUCCGUUACCGCUGUGACCGCGUUAUUGCCUGCAAUUGACCGCGGCACGAGCCGCUAGCGUUACGCACCUUUUUUAUGUGCCGCUGAGCUCGUGGAACGCGACUCGGAGACAAGAAAAACGGUUAUUGUGACGGAAGUUGAUGGUGGCGCUUUGAUCGCCAGUCAGGAAGAAACUCACUUUUUUCACCGUUACAAUGCGGUGUAUUGGAUAAGUGAUUGAGUGGUGAAGCGCGAAGUGAUUGCGUGUGCAUACAACAAAAAUCUAUAAUGAAAACUUAUUUAUGGAAAUGACUGCGAAAUAUUGUAAAUACGCUCAUGUACGUUCGUAGAGCGCUUGCAAUGCAAAAUAACGAGUGUGAACUGUGAAGUGUUUCAUAUCACGCAUGUUACAUCAUUAAAGGCAAAAAAGCAUCUUCGGGAAGAAAUAUGUAAUGUUGUAACUGUUUACGCGGUGAUCAUUUAAAGUGUUCUCCACAUACACUUACUACUUCCGUCUUGAGCUGAAACAAAAAUUAUAAUUACUCGACAACUAUCGCAAUAUCUUCAGAUUCAUCUAGAUUUGUUCAGUGAUGUCGGUCGUUCAUGAUCUUCCUUCGUAAUUUCAUUAAAAAUUAUCUGAGUGCAAGAAAUUUAUCUAAUUAUCGUAUUCCCUCGUACGUCACAUAUGCAUAUAUGUGUAGUAUCUGUAAAAUGUGAUUAAACCGAUUGAUUUGAGCAGGAACUGGCCAUUUGAUAACUGCUCUGUGUGACAAAGUGAGACCUGUGAAUUUAUCAAUUAGUAACGAAUAGCGGCGGAGUGAUCUGGUGUUACUUUGUGAUGUUUGGUUUAUUUAUUUAUUUCUGAUGAUAACGCCGUGAGCGAGGAGGGAGCCAGCUGGAGCCAAUCACUGAGUACUGCGCUAUUGGAUUUAAUCUGGAAAAAUACUUCUUUAAUGAGUUAUUGGAAACAAAAUUUCCUCAAACGGCCUGCGGACGAUGUCGAUACUAGCGGUGCUGGCGGUCCAGAAAAUUUCGAACCACCGGUCAAACUUCAGCACAACGGUUCCGAAAACUUAACAAAAAUUCUCCGUUGAAAUUGUA